Molecule: ribosomal RNA, 753 nt
Filed under: Brugia malayi
Lineage: Eukaryota; Metazoa; Nematoda; Chromadorea; Rhabditida; Onchocercidae
Description: SSU rRNA
Rfam family: Eukaryotic small subunit ribosomal RNA
Source: RNAcentral
UUGCUGCGGUUAAAAAGCUCGUAGUUGGAUCUGCGUCUCAGGACCUGGUCCAUCCAUUGGAUGAGAACUAGGCUCCUAGGCUAAUAUUGCCAGUUUUCCCAUACGUUACCUUAAUUGGUUGCAUAUGGUGGCUAGCAAGUUUACCUUGAAAAAAUUAGAGUGCUCAAUGCGGGCUAAUGCCUGAAUACUCGUGCAUGGAAUAAUGAAAUAGGAUCUCGGUUCUAUUUUGUUGGUUUUCUGAUCUGAGAUAAUGGUUAAGAGGGACGGACGGGGGCAUUCGUAUCGCUGCGUGAGAGGUGAAAUUCUUGGACCGUAGCGAGACGUACGACUGCGAAAGCAUUUGCCAAGAAUGUCUUCAUUAAUCAAGAACGAAAGUCAGAGGUUCGAAGGCGAUCAGAUACCGCCCUAGUUCUGACCGUAAACGAUACCAACUAGCGUUCCGUCGGCGGUAAAUACGCCUUGACGGGCAGCUUCCCGGAAACGAAAGUUUUUCGGUUCCGGGGGAAGUAUGGUUGCAAAGCUGAAACUUAAAGAAAUUGACGGAAGGGCACCACCAGGAGUGGAGCCUGCGGCUUAAUUUGACUCAACACGGGAAAACUCACCUGGCCCGGACACCGUGAGGAUUGACAGAUUGAGAGCUCUUUCAUGAUUCGGUGGUUGGUGGUGCAUGGCCGUUCUUAGUUGGUGGAGUGAUUUGUCUGGUUUAUUCCGAUAACGAGCGAGACUCUAGCCUACUAAAUAGUUACUGGAUAA